CCGGCGACCGGCGCACGGUGAGUAACACGUAUGCAACCUGGCCGUGACAGAUGGAUAACCGGGAGAAAUCCCGCCUAAUACAGCAUGACGCCGGGAAGGGACAUCCCUUUCCGGCCAAAGGGGGCGACUCCGGUCACGGAUGGGCAUGCGGCGCAUUAGGUAGUUGGUGGGGCAACGGCCCACCAAGCCGACGAUGCGUAGGGGUUCUGAGAGGAAGGUCCCCCACAUUGGAACUGAGACACGGUCCAAACUCCUACGGAAGGCAGCAG
RNAcentral lists this ribosomal RNA (269 nucleotides) under uncultured bacterium. Its description in RNAcentral is "partial 16S ribosomal RNA". It matches the Rfam family "Bacterial small subunit ribosomal RNA", at positions 88 to 354 of the family's 1533-position model. The record is from RNAcentral.